Molecule: ribosomal RNA, 149 nt
Filed under: Laccaria fraterna
Lineage: Eukaryota; Fungi; Basidiomycota; Agaricomycetes; Agaricales; Hydnangiaceae
Description: 5.8S ribosomal RNA
Rfam family: 5.8S ribosomal RNA
About the family: 5.8S ribosomal RNA (5.8S rRNA) is a component of the large subunit of the eukaryotic ribosome. It is transcribed by RNA polymerase I as part of the 45S precursor that also contains 18S and 28S rRNA.
Source: RNAcentral
ACAACUUUUAGCAACGGAUCUCUUGGCUCUCGCAUCGAUGAAGAACGCAGCGAAAUGCGAUAAGUAAUGUGAAUUGCAGAAUUCAGUGAAUCAUCGAAUCUUUGAACGCACCUUGCGCUCCUUGGUAUUCCGAGGAGCAUGCCUGUUUG